This 547-nucleotide ribosomal RNA is filed under the name Burkholderia stabilis. RNAcentral's name for it is "bacterial SSU rRNA". It matches the Rfam family "Bacterial small subunit ribosomal RNA", at positions 379 to 918 of the family's 1533-position model. Lineage: Bacteria; Pseudomonadati; Pseudomonadota; Betaproteobacteria; Burkholderiales; Burkholderiaceae. The record is from RNAcentral.
AAGCCUGAUCCAGCAAUGCCGCGUGUGUGAAGAAGGCCUUCGGGUUGUAAAGCACUUUUGUCCGGAAAGAAAUCCUUGGUCCUAAUAUGGCCGGGGGAUGACGGUACCGGAAGAAUAAGCACCGGCUAACUACGUGCCAGCAGCCGCGGUAAUACGUAGGGUGCAAGCGUUAAUCGGAAUUACUGGGCGUAAAGCGUGCGCAGGCGGUUUGCUAAGACCGAUGUGAAAUCCCCGGGCUCAACCUGGGAACUGCAUUGGUGACUGGCAGGCUAGAGUAUGGCAGAGGGGGGUAGAAUUCCACGUGUAGCAGUGAAAUGCGUAGAGAUGUGGAGGAAUACCGAUGGCGAAGGCAGCCCCCUGGGCCAAUACUGACGCUCAUGCACGAAAGCGUGGGGAGCAAACAGGAUUAGAUACCCUGGUAGUCCACGCCCUAAACGAUGUCAACUAGUUGUUGGGGAUUCAUUUCCUUAGUAACGUAGCUAACGCGUGAAGUUGACCGCCUGGGGAGUACGGUCGCAAGAUUAAAACUCAAGAAAUUUUGACGGAG